GUGGGUAGUUUGACUGGGGCGGUCUCCUCCUAAAGAGUAACGGAGGAGCACGAAGGUUGGCUAAUCCUGGUCGGACAUCAGGAGGUUAGUGCAAUGGCAUAAGCCAGCUUGACUGCGAGCGUGACGGCGCGAGCAGGUGCGAAAGCAGGUCAUAGUGAUCCGGUGGUUCUGAAUGGAAGGGCCAUCGCUCAACGGAUAAAAGGUACUCCGGGGAUAACAGGCUGAUACCGCCCAAGAGUUCAUAUCGACGGCGGUGUUUGGCACCUCGAUGUCGGCUCAUCACAUCCUGGGGCUGAAGUAGGUCCCAAGGGUAUGGCUGUUCGCCAUUUAAAGUGGUACGCGAGCUGGGUUUAGAACGUCGUGAGACAGUUCGGUCCCUAUCUGCCGUGGGCGCUGGAGAACUGAGGGGGGCUGCUCCUAGUACGAGAGGACCGGAGUGGACGCAUCACUGGUGUUCGGGUUGUCAUGCCAAUGGCACUGCCCGGUAGCUAAAUGCGGAAGAGAUAA
RNAcentral lists this ribosomal RNA (507 nucleotides) under Salmonella enterica. RNAcentral's name for it is "partial 23S ribosomal RNA". It matches the Rfam family "Bacterial large subunit ribosomal RNA", at positions 2261 to 2767 of the family's 2925-position model. Lineage: Bacteria; Pseudomonadati; Pseudomonadota; Gammaproteobacteria; Enterobacterales; Enterobacteriaceae. RNAcentral also lists the same sequence under 2 other names. The record is from RNAcentral.